This 67-nucleotide transfer RNA is filed under the name Luthrodes pandava. RNAcentral's name for it is "tRNA-Val". The record is from RNAcentral. Lineage: Eukaryota; Metazoa; Arthropoda; Insecta; Lepidoptera; Lycaenidae.
UAAAUCAUAUCUUAAUAAAAGUAUUUCAUUUACAUUGAAAAGAUAUUAUAAUUUAUAAUUGAUUUAA